Non-coding RNA from Paludibacter sp. 47-17, 176 nucleotides. Lineage: Bacteria; Pseudomonadati; Bacteroidota; Bacteroidia; Bacteroidales; Paludibacteraceae. The record is from Rfam.
UUGUUGGUGACGACAGCAGUGAAGGAAGCGAGACUGCAAAAUCCGGUACUGACGAACAGAAACGGUAUAUGAGGCAUAUUUGUUUUGGGUAAGCAACCACACCCUUGUAACGCCCAAAAUGGUAAUUUGUGGACAGAUAUGUAGAUACCGCAGUGAUUGGAAGAAGGAAAAAGCUC